RNAcentral lists this long non-coding RNA (214 nucleotides) under Homo sapiens (human). RNAcentral's name for it is "non-protein coding lnc-MCM4-1:1". The record is from RNAcentral. Lineage: Eukaryota; Metazoa; Chordata; Mammalia; Primates; Hominidae.
GGCCCCUAAGAAAACAUUUGUUGUGAAUCUCCAGUCCUUUCCCUCAGAGCAACCCCAGAAGUCCACUUCCUUAAUGGCCAGGCCCCUGCAGCCACCUCUGGACACCCAGGACAUCCUGGAGACCAGUGCUCAGAAUGACAAGCACGGUCUCCUCAGCCGACCAGACAAGCUUCCACAUACGCAGUGACUUGUAAUCAGCAGAGACUCAAGAACU